ACACAUGCAAGUCGAACGGAAAGGCCCUUCGGGGUACUCGAGUGGCGAACGGGUGAGUAACACGUGGGUGAUCUGCCCUGCACUUUGGGAUAAGCCUGGGAAACUGGGUCUAAUACCGAAUAGGACCGCAUGCUUCAUGGUGUGUGGUGGAAAGCUUUUGCGGUGUGGGAUGGGCCCGCGGCCUAUCAGCUUGUUGGUGAGGUAAUGGCUUACCAAGGCGACGACGGGUAGCCCGGCCUGAGAGGGUGACCGGCCACACUGGGACUGAGAUACGGCCCAGACUCCUACGGGAGGCAGCAGUGGGGAAUAUUGCACAAUGGGCGCAAGCCUGAUGCAGCGACGCCGCGUGAGGGAUGACGGCCUUCGGGUUGUAAACCUCUUUCGCCAGGGACGAAGCGCAAGUGACGGUACCUGGAGAAGAAGGACCGGCCAACUACGUGCCAGCAGCCGCGGUAAUACGUAGGGUCCGAGCGUUGUCCGGAAUUACUGGGCGUAAAGAGCUCGUAGGUGGUUUGUCGCGUUGUUCGUGAAAACUCACAGCUUAACUGUGGGCGUGCGGGCGAUACGGCAGACUUG
Molecule: ribosomal RNA, 576 nt
Filed under: Mycobacterium sp. Mc4
Lineage: Bacteria; Bacillati; Actinomycetota; Actinomycetes; Mycobacteriales; Mycobacteriaceae
Description: bacterial SSU rRNA
Rfam family: Bacterial small subunit ribosomal RNA
Source: RNAcentral